GCUUACGGCCACACCCCCUGGUUCACGUCCGAUCUCGUUUGAUCUCGGAAGCUAAAAUAGGUUGGGCCUGGUUAGUACUUGCAUGGGAGACUGCCUGGGAAUACCAGGUGCUGUAAGCU
This 119-nucleotide ribosomal RNA is filed under the name Scophthalmus maximus (turbot). The record is from RNAcentral. Lineage: Eukaryota; Metazoa; Chordata; Actinopteri; Pleuronectiformes; Scophthalmidae.